GAGGGAAAGGUGAAAAGCACCCCGUUGAGGGGAGUGAAAUAGACCUGAAACCGUCUGCCUACAUUCAGUGGGAGCUCUAUGGCGGUCCUUCGGGACCGCAAUGAGUGACUGCGUACCUUUUGUUUAAUGGGUCCGCGAGUUAUUCCUCAGCAGCAAGGUUAAGCCGACAGGUGUAGCCGCAGCGAAAGCGAGUCUGAACAGGGCGUAGAGUUCGUUGGAUUAGACCCGAAACCGAGUGAUCUAGCCAUGGGCAGGUUGAAGGUGCGGUAACACGCACUGGAGGACCGAACCCACGUCUGUUGAAAAAGACGGGGAUGACCUGUGGUUAGGGGUGAAAGGCCAAUCAAAC
RNAcentral lists this ribosomal RNA (349 nucleotides) under Synchroma pusillum. Its description in RNAcentral is "partial Bacterial large subunit ribosomal RNA". It matches the Rfam family "Bacterial large subunit ribosomal RNA", at positions 505 to 838 of the family's 2925-position model. Lineage: Eukaryota; Synchromophyceae; Synchromales; Synchromaceae. The record is from RNAcentral.